This 497-nucleotide ribosomal RNA is filed under the name uncultured bacterium. RNAcentral describes it as "partial 16S ribosomal RNA". It matches the Rfam family "Bacterial small subunit ribosomal RNA", at positions 28 to 507 of the family's 1533-position model. The record is from RNAcentral.
GACGAACGCUGGCGGCGUGCCUAAUACAUGCAAGUUGAGCGCUGAAGGUUGGUACUUGUACCAACUGGAUGAGCAGCGAACGGGUGAGUAACGCGUGGGGAAUCUGCCUUUGAGCGGGGGACAACAUUUGGAAACGAAUGCUAAUACCGCAUAAAAACUUUAAACACAAGUUUUAUGUUUGAAAGAUGCAAUUGCAUCACUCAAAGAUGAUCCCGCGUUGUAUUAGCUAGUUGGUGAGGUAAAGGCACACCAAGGCGAUGAUACAUAGCCGACCUGAGAGGGUGAUCGGCCACAUUGGGACUGAGACACGGCCCAAACUCCUACGGGAGGCAGCAGUAGGGAAUCUUCGGCAAUGGACGAAAGUCUGACCGAGCAACGCCGCGUGAGUGAAGAAGGUUUUCGGAUCGUAAAACUCUGUUGGUAGAGAAGAACGUUGGUGAGAGUGGAAAGCUCAUCAAGUGACGGUAACUACCCAGAAAGGGACGGCUAACUACGUG